AUUGAACGCUGGCGGCAGGCCUAACACAUGCAAGUCGAACGGCAGCACAGAAGAGCUUGCUCUUUGGGUGGCGAGUGGCGGACGGGUGAGUAACACGUAGGAAUCUACCCAGUAGUGGGGGAUAACCUGGGGAAACCCAGGCUAAUACCGCAUACGCCCUGAGGGGGAAAGCGGGGGAUCUUCGGACCUCGCGCUAUUGGAUGAGCCUGCGUCGGAUUAGCUAGUUGGUGGGGUAAGGGCCCACCAAGGCGACGAUCCGUAGCUGGUCUGAGAGGAUGACCAGUCACACCGGAACUGAGACACGGUCCGGACUCCUACGGGAGGCAGCAGUGGGGAAUAUUGGACAAUGGGCGCAAGCCUGAUCCAGCCAUGCCGCGUGGGUGAAGAAGGCCUCGGUGUAAG
RNAcentral lists this ribosomal RNA (402 nucleotides) under uncultured bacterium. RNAcentral describes it as "bacterial SSU rRNA". It matches the Rfam family "Bacterial small subunit ribosomal RNA", at positions 29 to 429 of the family's 1533-position model. The record is from RNAcentral.